RNAcentral lists this ribosomal RNA (503 nucleotides) under uncultured bacterium. RNAcentral describes it as "partial 16S ribosomal RNA". It matches the Rfam family "Bacterial small subunit ribosomal RNA", at positions 28 to 523 of the family's 1533-position model. The record is from RNAcentral.
GAUGAACGCUAGCGGCAGGCCUAAUACAUGCAAGUCGGACGGGAUUGGGGAGCUUGCUCCCCAUGAGAGUGGCGCACGGGUGCGUAACACGUAUGUAACCUACCCUUGUCAGGGGGAUAGCCUCUCGAAAGAGAGAUUAACACCGCAUAACAUUAUUGGAUGGCAUCAUUUAAUAAUCAAAUAUUUAUAGGACAAGGAUGGGCAUGCGGGGCAUUAGCUAGUUGGUAGGGUAACGGCUUACCAAGGCUACGAUGUCUAGGGGAUCUGAGAGGAUAGCCCCCCACACUGGGACUGAGACACGGCCCAGACUCCUACGGGAGGCAGCAGUGGGGAAUUUUGGACAAUGGGCGCAAGCCUGACCCAGCCAUGCCGCGUGCAGGAUGAAGGCCUUCGGGUUGUAAACUGCUUUUGUACGGAACGAAAAGACUCUGGUUAAUACCUGGGGUCCAUGACGGUACCGUAAGAAUAAGCACCGGCUAACUACGUGCCAGCAGCCGCAGUAA